This 492-nucleotide ribosomal RNA is filed under the name uncultured bacterium. Its description in RNAcentral is "partial 16S ribosomal RNA". It matches the Rfam family "Bacterial small subunit ribosomal RNA", at positions 30 to 507 of the family's 1533-position model. The record is from RNAcentral.
AGUGAACGCUGGCGGUAGGCCUAACACAUGCAAGUCGAACGGCAGCACGGUAAAAGCUGGCAGAUACGGGGGGAGAGGGGAAGGCGGGAGUAGUACAUAGCGACAUGUACUGUUGCGGGGGGGAACAAGUAGGAAGACUAACGAAAAUACCACACGAGACGAAGGGGAGAGUGCGGGAGAGCUUCGGCCCAUGCGCGAGGAGAGGAGGCGAUGUCUGAUUAGCUAGUUGGAGGGGUAAAGGCACACCAAGGCGACGAUCCGUAGCUGGUCUGAGAGGAAGACCAGCCACACUGGAACUGAGACACGGUCCAGACUCCUACGGGAGGCAGCAGUGGGGAAUUUUGGACAAUGGGCGCAAGCCUGAUCCAGCCAUGCCGCGUGUGUGAAGAAGGCCUUCGGGUUGUAAAGCCCUUUUGUUCGGAAAGAAAUGGCUCUGGUUAAUACCUCGCGUUGCUGACGGUACCGGAAGAAUAAGCACCGGCUAACUUCGUG